Molecule: ribosomal RNA, 252 nt
Filed under: uncultured bacterium
Lineage: Bacteria
Description: partial 16S ribosomal RNA
Rfam family: Bacterial small subunit ribosomal RNA
Source: RNAcentral
UACAGAGGGGGCAAGCGUUGUUCGGAAUUACUGGGCGUAAGGGCGCGUAGGCGGCCUGUUAAGUCGAACGUGAAAUCCCCGGGCUCAACCCGGGAACUGCGUCCGAUACUGGCAGGCUUGAAUCCGGGAGAGGGAUGCGGAAUUCCAGGUGUAGCGGUGAAAUGCGUAGAUAUCUGGAGGAACACCGGUGGCGAAGGCGGCAUCCUGGACCGGCAUUGACGCUGAGGCGCGAAAGCCAGGGGAGCAAACGGG